UUAUUGUGGUAGCCCACAAAAUAUUGGGAUAUAUAAAAAAACGACAACUCUGUUGCGCAGAGUAGCUGUUGACAUUAUAGUUGCGCAGGCACUUUGUUGACUCUAGAGAACCUCGGGCCGAUCGCACAUCCUCGUGGCGGCGACUUUGCAUGUGGAUGUCAUCCAUAUCAACUUUCGAUGCCAGUUUCUGCGCCUACCAUGGUGACCAAGGGUAAUGGGGAAUCAGGGUUCCAUUCCGUACAGGGACCCUGAGAAACGGCUACCACAUGCAAGGAAGGCAGCAGGGGCACAAAUGACCCAUUCCCGACGCGGGAAGGUAGUGAUGAUAA
Pelobates cultripes (western spadefoot toad) is the source of this 329-nucleotide non-coding RNA. Lineage: Eukaryota; Metazoa; Chordata; Amphibia; Anura; Pelobatidae. The record is from the annotation of a GenBank genome assembly.